ACAUGCAGUCGAGGGGUAGAGUAAGCUUGCUUACUUGAGACCGGCGCACGCGUUGCGUAACGCGUAUGCAAUCUACCUUAUACAGGGGAAUAGCCCAGAGAAAUUUGGAUUAAUGCCCCAUAGUGUUAUUGAAUCGCAUGGUUUAAUAACUAAAGUUCCAACGGUAUAAGAUGAGCAUGCGUCCCAUUAGUUAGUUGGUAAGGUAACGGCUUACCAAGACAAUGAUGGGUAGGGGUCCUGAGAGGGAGAUCCCCCACACUGGUACUGAGACACGGACCAGACUCCUACGGGAGGCAGCAGUGAGGAAUAUUGGUCAAUGGGCGCAAGCCUGAACCAGCCAUGCCGCGUGCAGGAAGACGGUCCUAUGGAUUGUAAACUGCUUUUAUACAGGAAGAAACAACUCUACGUGUAGAGUCUUGACGGUACUGUAGGAAUAAGGAUCGGCUAACUCCGUGCCAGCAGCCGCGGUAAUACGGAGGAUCCAAGCGUUAUCCGGAAUCAUUGGGUUUAAAGGGUCCGUAGGCGGUCUUAUAAGUCAGUGGUGAAAUCUCCUAGCUCAACUAGGAAACUGCCAUUGAUACUGUAAGACUUGAAUUUUUGUGAAGUAACUAGAAUAUGUAGUGUAGCGGUGAAAUGCUUAGAUAUUACAUGGAAUACCAAUUGCGAAGGCAGGUUACUAACAAACGAUUGACGCUGAUGGACGAAAGCGUGGGGAGCGAACAGGAUUAGAUACCCUGGUAGUCCACGCCGUAAACGAUGGAUACUAGCUGUUCGGAGCAAUCUGAGUGGCUAAGCGAAAGUGAUAAGUAUCCCACCUGGGGAGUACGCACGCAAGUGUGAAACUCAAAGGAAUUGACGGGGG
Molecule: ribosomal RNA, 862 nt
Filed under: uncultured Flavobacteriaceae bacterium
Lineage: Bacteria; Pseudomonadati; Bacteroidota; Flavobacteriia; Flavobacteriales; Flavobacteriaceae
Description: bacterial SSU rRNA
Rfam family: Bacterial small subunit ribosomal RNA
Source: RNAcentral